GACGAACGCUGGCGGCGUGCCUAAUACAUGCAAGUUGAGCGAUGAAGCUUGGUGCUUGCACCAAUUUGAAGAGCAGCGAACGGGUGAGUAACGCGUGGGGAAUCUGCCUUUGAGCGGGGGACAACAUUUGGAAACGAAUGCUAAUACCGCAUAAUAACUUUAAACAUAAGUUUUAAGUUUGAAAGAUGCAAUUGCAUCACUCAAAGAUGAUCCCGCGUUGUAUUAGCUAGUUGGUGAGGUAAAGGCUCACCAAGGCGAUGAUACAUAGCCGACCUGAGAGGGUGAUCGGCCACAUUGGGACUGAGACACGGCCCAAACUCCUACGGGAGGCAGCAGUAGGGAAUCUUCGGCAAUGGACGAAAGUCUGACCGAGCAACGCCGCGUGAGUGAAGAAGGGUUUCGGAUCGUAAAAAUCGGUUGGUAGAGAAGAACGUUGGUGAGAGUGGAAAGCUCAUCAAGUGACGGUAACUACCCAGAAAGGGACGGCUAACUACGUG
RNAcentral lists this ribosomal RNA (497 nucleotides) under uncultured bacterium. Its description in RNAcentral is "partial 16S ribosomal RNA". It matches the Rfam family "Bacterial small subunit ribosomal RNA", at positions 28 to 507 of the family's 1533-position model. The record is from RNAcentral.